CAGCAUAUCAAUAAGCGGAGGAAAAGAAACUAACAAGGAUUCCCCUAGUAACUGCGAGUGAAGAGGGAAAAGCUCAAAUUUAAAAUCUGGCAGCUUUGGUUGUCCGAGUUGUAAUCUGGAGAAGUGUUUUCAGUUCAGGACCGUGUACAAGUCUCUUGGAAUAGAGCGUCAUAGAGGGUGAGAAUCCCGUCUUUGACACGGACUACCUGGGCUUUGUGAUACACUCUCAAAGAGUCGAGUUGUUUGGGAAUGCAGCUCAAAAUGGGUGGUAAAUUCCAUCUAAAGCUAAAUAUUGGCGAGAGACCGAUAGCGAACAAGUACCGUGAGGGAAAGAUGAAAAGCACUUUGGAAAGAGAGUUAAACAGUACGUGAAAUUGUUGAAAGGGAAACGCUUGAAGUCAGUCGCGUUUGUUAGAACUCAGCUUGGCUUUUGCUUAGUGUACUUUCUAAUAAACGGGCCAACAUCGAUUUCAGUCAGUGGAUAAGGGUAAGGGGAAUGUGGCACCCUCGGGUGUGUUAUAGCCUCUUAUCGUAUACAUUUACUGGGAUCGAGGUCUGCAGCACUUGUGCUUAGGAUGUUGGCGUAAUGGCUUUAAUCGACCCGUCUUGAAACACGGACCAAGGAGUCUAACAUGCCCGCGAGUGUUAGGGUGGUAAACCCUUGCGCGUAAUGAAAGUGAAAGUUGGGACCUCUGUCAUGGGGGGCACCGACGCCCGGUCCAGAACUUCUGUGACGGUACUGCGGUAGAGCGUGUAUGUUGGGACCCGAAAGAUGGUGAACUAUGCCUGAAUAGGGUGAAGCCAGAGGAAACUCUGGUGGAGGCUCGUAGCGAUUCUGACGUGCAAAUCGAUCGUCAAAUUUGGGUAUAGGGGCGAAAGACUAAUCGA
Molecule: ribosomal RNA, 888 nt
Filed under: Resinicium confertum
Lineage: Eukaryota; Fungi; Basidiomycota; Agaricomycetes; Hymenochaetales
Description: LSU rRNA
Rfam family: Eukaryotic large subunit ribosomal RNA
Source: RNAcentral